Oncorhynchus keta (chum salmon) is the source of this 6561-nucleotide long non-coding RNA. RefSeq lists it as uncharacterized. The record is from RefSeq and is a predicted model, not a curated record. The transcript is spliced from 2 exons. Lineage: Eukaryota; Metazoa; Chordata; Actinopteri; Salmoniformes; Salmonidae.
GACGAGUUCUACUUUAUCAGACAAGUGGAGCUCUCGCAAUGGAAGAAGAAAUCGCAGCAACUGAGGGGCCGUAAUAUUGCAACAGGACUUGGUAUCGGAGCCAUUGUAAUAGGAAUUUGUAUCCUUGUCAAACAGUCACACAAGAUGCCUACACGUUUUACUCAGUGAAACAGGAGAAGAUCAUGGAUGAGCUGGAUGAGGAGGCCAAGAUAAGAGGGGCAAAGACAGGCGCCAACUGACAUGGCAAUCAGAAAACUUAGCUAAAAUGGACUGUGUGGUGUGCCAGGUAUCCUAUCUACUUUACUGGAAUGGACGAAGGGACUAAUGCAGAAGCUACACCUUAUUCCACUGCUAGCCAUUGUCAACUUUGAAUUGGAACUACUGAACUGAGACAAAGAAACACAAUCCUAUUUAAAUAUAUUUAUGUUGAUAAAGGACAGAGUUGUAAAAAAUGUAUUAUGUAGUUUCUUUUACAAAACAAAUGACAUCUUCAUGUAAGGUCAGUGUAAUGUUUCCUAGGCUAAAUGCCAGACAUACAGUUCAAGUCAGAAGUUUACAUGCACCUUAGCCAAAUACAUUUAAACUCAGUUUUAAACUAUUCCUGACAUUUAAAUCCUAGUUUUAAACAAUUCCUGACAUUUAAUCCUAGUAAUAAUUCCCAAUUUUAGGUCUGUUAGGAUCACCACUUUAUUUUAAGAAUGUGAAAUGUCAGAAUAAGAGUAGAGUGAUUUAUUUCAGAUGUGAUUUCUUUCAGCACAUUCCCAGUGGGUCAGAAGUUUACAUACACUCAAUUAGUAUUUGGGAGCAUUGCCUUUAAAUUGUUUAACUUGGGUCAAAUGUUUCGGGGAGCCUUCCCCAAGUUUCCCAGAAUAAGUUGGGUGAAUUGUCUCAUUCUUCCUGACAGAGCUGGUGUAACUGAGUCAGGUUUGUAUAGGCCUCUGCUCGCACACUUUCAGUUCUGCCCACAAAUGUUCUAUACGAUUGAGGUCAGGGCUUUGUGAUGGCCACUCCAAUACCUUGACUUUGUUGUCCUUAAGCCAUUUUGCCCCAACUUUGGAAGUAUGCUUUGGGCCAUUGUCCAUUUGGAAGACCCAUUUGCGAUCAAGCUUUAACUUCCUGACUGACGUCUUGAGAUGUUGCUUCAAUAUAUCCACAUAAUGUUCCUGCCUCAUGAUGCCAUCUAUUUUGUGAAGUGCACCAGUCCCCCCUGCAGCAAACCACCCACACAACAUGAUGCUGCCACUCCCGUGCUUCACAGUUGGGCUGGUGUUCUUCGGGUUGCAAGCCUCCCCCUUUUUGCUCCAAACAUAAUGGUGGUCAUUAUGACCAAACAGUUCUAUUUUUGUUUCAUCAGACCAGAGGACAUUUCUGCAAAAAAGUAUGAUCUUUGUCCCCAUGUGUAGUUGCAAACCGUAGUCUGGAUUUUUUAUGGCGGUUUUGGAGCAGUGGCUUCUUCCUUGCUGAGUGGCCUUUCAGGUUAUGUUGAUCUUCACAAGGUUCUUUGCUGGGAUUGAUUUUCACUUCUUGCACCAAAGUACGUUCAUCUCUCGGAGACAGAACGCGUCUCCUUCCUGAGCGGUAUGAUGGCUGCAUGGUCCCAUGGUGUUUAUACUUGCAUACUAUUGUUUGUACAGUUGAACAUGUUACCUUCAGACGCUUGGAAAUUGCUCCCAAGGAUGAACCAGACUUGUGGAGGGCCACAAUUUUUUUUAUGAGGUCUUGGCUGAUUUCCUUUGAUUUUCCAAUGAUGCCAAGUAAAGAGGAACUGAGUUUGAAGGUAUGCCUUGAAAUACAUCCACAUGUACACCUCCAAUUGACUCAAAUGAUGUCAAUUAGCCUAUCAGAAGCUUCUAAAGCCAUGACAUAAUUUUCUGGAAUUUUCCAAGCUGUUUAAAAGCACAGUCAACUUAGUUUAUGUAAACUUCUGACCCACUGGAAUUGUGAUAUUGUGAAUUAUAAUUGAAAUAAUCUGUUUGUAAACAAACAAUUGUUGGAAAAAAUACUUGUGUAAUGCACAAAGAAGAUGUCCUAACCCACUUGCCAUAACUAUAGUUUGUUAACAAGAAAUAUGUAGAGUGGUUGAAAAAUGAGUUUUAAUGACUCCAACCUAAGUGUAUGUAAACUUCCAACUUCAACUGUACAUCAAUAUUGUCAAAAUAGUACGGAAGCAGAGAGGAGCACUAUCAUAAUUCCAACUGUUUAUUAUGUCAAAAUAUGAUUUACAGAGUAUGCUGUAGCCACCAAACCUACAGAGUAAAAAUAUUAAAUAAGACAUUGCAAGGGGAAGGCACAGAUUUGAGCAUGGCAGGACAGCAGCUUUGCAUAUCAAAGUGAUACAAUCAUACACAUAUAUUAAAAUAUUAGCAUUGUAAUCACAUUUUCUUUAAAUAUAUACACUUGUGGAAAUCUUAGGUGAGUAUUAUCCUGAGUGGCGCAGAGGUCUAAGGCAGUGCAUCUGGGCUAGAGGUGUCACUACAGACCCUGGUUUGAUUCCAGACUGUAUCACAACCGGCCGUGACUGGGAGUCCCAUGGGGUGGCACACAAUUGGCCCAGUGACGUUAGGGUUUGGCCGGAGUAGGUCGUCAUUGUAUAUAAUCAUUUGUUCUUAACGGACUUAAAUGAACUAAAAAUAGAAUUCAGUGUGCGUAUUUAAGGCAAUGGCUAAGGGCUCACAGUUCCAUCCAUUUGUUAUGCAGUCAUUCUCUCACCUCCCUACCUGUGCAUAUAAAUAAGCUACUUCAUUUAACAAAAAGUGUGAAAUUAGUGACUACUAAAGUAGAAGUUACUAAAGUGCAGAGGGUGCCUUGUUUAUUACACAUUGCAGAAAUGUUUUAUCAUUGUUCAAUGUCGUGUACAAAACAUUAGGAACACCUUUAGGACAGCCCAUUUAGUCUACUGGUCGAUUGUUUGUUCCAUAGGCUGUUGUUCCAUGUCUGAUUUGCGCAUGUCUCAGUGGACUAAUUCAUUGAGGAGGCCGUGGUCAAAGAAGGAGCGUGUGGCUAAGAUGCAGAAGGCAUAUCUCAUUGUUUCAUAAAUUCAUUGUGUUAACUGUUUCCCCUUUGAUUGUUAGUGUCUAUGAUCAAUUCCCUGUUACAUACAAUACCGGUAAAAAGUUUUAGAACACAUACUCAUUCCAGUGUUACACUUUUUACUAUUUUCUACAUUGUAAGAAGACAUCAACAAUAUGGAAUCAUGUAGUAACCAAAAAAGUGUUCAACAAAUCAAAAUGUAACUUAUAUCUGAGUUUCUUCAAAAGCCACCCUUUGCCUUGAUGACAACUUUGCACACUCUUAGCUUUCUCUCAACCAGCUUCAUAAGGUAAUCACUGAAUCUUCAUGCGUUUCAAUUAACAGGUGUGCCUUGUUAAUUUGUGGAAUGUCUUUCCUUCUUAAUGCGUUUGAGACAAUCAGUUGCAUUGUGACAACGUAGGGGUGGUAUACAGAAAAUAGGCCUAUUUGGUACAAUACCAAGUCCAUAUUAUUGCUAGAACAGCUCAAAUAAGCAAAGACAGUCCAUUAUUACUUUAAGACAUGAAGGUCAGUCAAUACAGAACAUUUCAAGAACUUUUGAAAGUUUCCUCAAGUGCAAUCGCAAAAACCAUCAAGCGCUAUGAUGAAACUGUCUCUCAUGAGGACCGCCACAGGACAGGAAGACCCAGAGCUACCUCUGAGGAUAAGUUCAUUAGAGUUACCAGCUUCAGAAAUUGCAGUCCAAAUAAAUGCUUCACAGAGUUCAAGUAACAGACACAUCUCAACAUCAACUGUUCAGAUGAGACUGUGUGAAUCAGGCCUUCAUGGUCGAAUUGCUGCAAAGAAACCCCCACUAAAGGACACCAAUAAUAGGAAAAGACUUGCUUGGGCCAAGAAACACAAGCAAUGGACAUUAGACUGGUGGAAAUGUGUCCUUUGGUCUGGAGUCCAAAUUGGAGAUUUUUGGUUCCAACCGCCGUGUCUUUGUGAGAUGCAAUGUGGGUGAACGGAUGAUCUCAGCAUGCAAUGGGGCAAAAAAGUAUUUAGUCAGCCACCAUUGUGCAAGUUCUCCCACUUAAAAAGAUGAGAGGCCUCUAAUUUUCAUCAUAGGUACACUUCAACUAUGAGAGACAAAAUGAGCAUUUCUUUUCCAGAAGAUAACAUUGUAGGAUUUUAAAUUUAUUUAUUUGCAAAUGAUGGUGGAAAAUAAGUAUUUGGUAAAUAACAACCGUUUAUCUCAAUACUUAUACUUAUAUACCCUUUAUUGGCAAUGACAGAGGUCAAACGUUUUCUGUAAGUCUUCACAAGGUUUUCACACACUGUUGCUGGUAUUUUGGCCCAUUCCUCCAUGCAAAUCUCCUCUAGAGCAGUGAUGUUUUGGGGCUAUUGCUGGGCAACACAGAUUUUCAACUCCCUCCAAAGAUUGUCUAUGGGGUUGAGAUCUGGUGACUGGCUAGGCCACUCCAGGACCUUGAAAUGCUUCUUACGAAGCCACUCCUUCGUUGCCCGGGCGGUGUGUUUGGGAUCAUUGUCAUGCUGAAAGACCCAGCCACGUUUCAUCUUCAAUGCCCUUGCUGAUGGAAGGAGGUUUUCACUCAAAAUCUCACGAUACAUGGCCCCAUUCAUUCUUUCUUUUACACGGAUCAGUCGUCCUGGUCCCUUUGCAGAAAAACAGCCCCAAAGCAUGAUGUUUCCACCCCCAUGCUUCACAGUAGGUAUGGUGUUCUUUGGAUGCAACUCAGUAUUCUUUGUCCUCCAAACACGACGAGUUGAGUUUUUACCAAAAAGUUAUAUUUUGGUUUCAUCUGACCAUAUGACAUUCUCCCAAUCUUCUUCUGGAUCAUCCAAAUGCUCUCUAGCAAACUUCAGACAGGCCUGGACAUGUACUGGCUUAAGCAGGAUUUGAGUCCCUGGCGGCGUAGUGUGUUACUGAUGGUAGGCUUUGUUACUUUGGUCUCAGCUCUCUGCAGUUCAUUCACUAGGUACCCCUGUGUGGUUCUGGUUCUUGUGAUCAUUUUGACCCCACGGGGUGAGAUCUUGCGUGGAGCCCCAGAUUGAGGGAGAUUAUCAGUGGUCUUGUAUGUCUUCCAUUUCCUAAUAAUUGCUCCCACAGUUGAUUUCUUCAAACCAAGCUGUUUACCUAUUGCAGAUGUAGUCUUCCCAGCCUGGUGCAGGUCUACAAUUUUGUUUCUGGUGUCCUUUGACAGCUCUUUGGUCUUGGCCAAAGUGGAGUUUGGAGUGUGACUGUUUGAGGUUGUGGACAGGUUGUGGACAGGUGUCUUUUAUACUGAUAACAAGUUCAAACAGGUGCCAUUAAUACAGGUAACGAGUGGAGGACAGAGGAGCCUCUUAAAGAAGAAGUUACAGGUCUGUGAGAGCCAUAAAUCUUGCUUGUUUGUAGGUGACCAAAUACUUAUUCUCCACCAUAAUUUGCAAAUAAAUUCAUUAAAAAUCCUACAAUGUGGUUUUCUGGAUUUUUUUUCUCAUUUUGUCUGUCAUAGUUGAAGUGUACCUAUGAUGAAAAUUACAGGCCUCUCAUCUUUUUAAGUGGGAGAACUUGCACAAUUGGUGACUGACUAAAUACUUUUUUGCCCCACUGUAUGUAUUUCCCACCGUAAAGCAUAGAGAAGGGGGUGGUGUUAUGUUGUGGGGGUGCUUUGCUGGUGACACUGUCUGUGAUUUAUUUAGAAUUCAAGGCACACCUAACUAGCAUGGCUACCACAGCAUUCUGCAGCAAUUAUGCCAUCCCAUCUGGUUUGAGCUUAGUGGGACUAUAAUUGUGUUUUUCAACAGGACAAUGACCCAACACACCUCCUUGCUGUGUAAGGGCUAUUUGAACAAGAAGGAGAGUGAUGGAGUGCUGCAUCAGAUGACCUGGCCUCCACAAUCCCCCGACCUCAACCAAAUUGAGAUGGUUUGAGAUGAGUCGGACCGCAGUGUGAAGGAAAAGCAGCCAACAAGUACUCAGCAUAUGGGAUCUCCUUCAAGACUGUUGGAAAAGCAUUCCAGGUGAAGCUGGUUGAGAGAAUGCCGAGAGUGUGCAAAUCUGUCAUCAAGGCAAAGGGUGGCUAUUUUGAUGUUUUACACUUUUUUGGUUAAUACAUUAUUCCAUAUGUGUUAUUUCAUAGUUUUGCCGUCGUCACUAUUAUUCUACAAUGUAGAAAAUAGUACAAAAUAAAUAAAAACCCUUGAAUGAGUAGGUGUUCUAAAACUUUUGACCAGUAGUGUAUAUCGCCAGUAAUAGGCUACAUUUACCAUUAAUCCCCAUCAUUUCUAAUCUACAAUGAUUGUUUGGUUAGGGUCAUUUCUGUUAAUGCUGUUAUAUUAUUACACCAGUAUUUUGCAGUUCUAAUUGUCGGAGUGGACAUGUUGUUUGCAGAGCUCACAACUUAUGCUACACUUGUGAGGAACAAGUUUUGGUUCAUUUCAAUCAAUUUAUGAGUUUUGUCAAUGUAUUAAUUGUCUUUUCUUUGGAGCGCUCCUGUCAAUGUUGAGUAAGGACGUGCAUAUAGGCCUAGAAGUAUAUAGGCCUAGACUACCUGGCCUGCGUGCAAAUGCAGGCCUAUAAAUGUGCCCAUUUGGGGGAUGUCU